UGAAAAUGCCCUCCGAUGCGGGGCGAUCCGGGCCUAGACAAUCCAGAUCAUCCCGCACAGAAGGCACUUUCCCACUCACCGCGCCGAUCCAGCACCCAGUCAGUCCACGGAUCGAG
RNAcentral lists this small RNA (116 nucleotides) under Microlunatus parietis. RNAcentral describes it as "Actinobacteria sRNA Ms_IGR-7". It matches the Rfam family "Actinobacteria sRNA Ms_IGR-7". The record is from Rfam by way of RNAcentral. Lineage: Bacteria; Bacillati; Actinomycetota; Actinomycetes; Propionibacteriales; Propionibacteriaceae.